This 203-nucleotide long non-coding RNA is filed under the name Nicotiana benthamiana. Its description in RNAcentral is "long non-coding RNA (NBEN_LNC024176)". The record is from RNAcentral. Lineage: Eukaryota; Viridiplantae; Streptophyta; Magnoliopsida; Solanales; Solanaceae.
GAGAUUAAUAAACCGGUGACUUGGGAUACCAUCUAAAAUAUUUCAAAUGGCGACUCUGAAUAUAAAUAAAUAAAUAAAUUCAUUUCGAACAAUGUCACUUAAAGUGGGAAAAAUCCCUUAUAUAUACCUUCGGGUGUGUAAAAAGGAGGUGUGACAGCUCUGGCGACUCCACUAGGGAUCCAAACCCAGAACUUUUGUUCAGA